AAAAACUUAUCUAUUUAGAGAUAAGCUCCAUUAUCCUCUUCCACCUUAUAAACAACUUAAAGACCUAUCAAGAUUCCAGAAGAAAAUAAACUCAAAAUUGAACCUUGAGGAAUGGGAAGUGGAGAAGAUGUUGAUCGUGAUGAUCUUGAAGCCUAAAUACAUGAUCUUGAAGCCUUCAUCUGGUUCUUCAGGAUUGUCAUCGGAGUUGUCAAGAUGGCAAACUCAAGAUCGGCGAUGAGCAACUGACGGUGUUCCGGUGGUUUUCGCAUCUGCAACAUGAACCUAGGUCUAGAAUCAAACACGUGUAUGUCUUACGUGUCAUUUCCUUAUGUUUUUGGGUUCAUUUAAUAUUUGGGCUUCAAAGGCUUUUGUAUCACUCGUCUUCUUG
Molecule: long non-coding RNA, 388 nt
Organism: Arabidopsis lyrata subsp. lyrata
Lineage: Eukaryota; Viridiplantae; Streptophyta; Magnoliopsida; Brassicales; Brassicaceae
Exons: 2
Source: RefSeq, a predicted model, not a curated record